ACGGCUCAGUAACACGUGGCUAACCUGCCCUUGGGAUAGGAACACCCCCGGGAAACUGGGGCUAAUUCCCAAUAGGCGAAGAACUCUGGAAUGAGUCUUCACCAGAAAAGACUCCUGCAUUAUGCUUGUAGGUUUCGCCCAAGGAUGGGGCCGCGACCGAUCAGGUUGUUGGUGAGGUAAUGGCUCACCAAGCCUUUUACCGGUGCGGGCCGUGAGAGCGGGAGCCCGGAGAUGGGCACUGAGACAAAGGCCCAGGCCCUACGGGGCGCAGCAGUCGCGAAAACUUUGCAAUACACGCAAGUGUGACAGGGCUAUCCCGAGUGCCAUCCGCUGAGGAGGGCUUUUACCCAGUCUAGAACGCUGGGGGAAUAAGGAGAGGGCAAGUCUGGUGUCAGCCGCCGCGGUAAUACCAGCUCUUCGAGUGGUGUGGAUGUUUAUUGGGCCUAAAGCAUCCGUAGCUGGCUAAGUUAGUCCCUUGUUAAAUCCACCGAAUUAAUCGUUGGAUUGCGGGGGAUACUGCUUGGCUAGGGGACGAGAGAGGCAGACGGUAUUUCCGGGGUAGGGGUGAAAUCCUAUAAUCCCGGGAAGACCACCAGUGGCGAAGGCUGUCUGCUAGAACGCGCCCGACGGUGAGGGAUGAAAGCUGGGGGAGCGAACCGGAUUAGAUACCCGGGUAGUCCCAGCUGUAAACGAUGCAGGCUAGGUGUCUGGACGGCCACGUGCCGUUCUAGUGCCGCAGGGAAGCUGUUAAGCCUGCCGCCUGGGGGAGUACGAUCGCAAGAUUGAAACUUAAAGGAAUUGGCGGGGGAGCAC
RNAcentral lists this ribosomal RNA (813 nucleotides) under uncultured archaeon. Its description in RNAcentral is "bacterial SSU rRNA". It matches the Rfam family "Archaeal small subunit ribosomal RNA", at positions 85 to 879 of the family's 1478-position model. The record is from RNAcentral.